Molecule: small RNA, 564 nt
Filed under: Pan troglodytes (chimpanzee)
Lineage: Eukaryota; Metazoa; Chordata; Mammalia; Primates; Hominidae
Description: processed transcript
Source: RNAcentral
AUUCCCAUUCGGACUCCCUGACUUUGUGUUUAAAUAGGAGGAAAUCAAAGCUAAAUUAAAGUAUCUCCCAAAAUUGUAGAGAUUUCUUCAGAUAUCUCCAUUAACGAAGGGAACAAUAUCAGCCUCACCUGCAUAGCAACUGGUAGACCAGAGCCUACGGUUACUUGGAGACACAUCUCCCCCAAAGCGGUUGGCUUUGUGAGUGAAGACGAAUACUUGGAAAUUCAGGGCAUCACCCGGGAGCAGUCAGGGGACUACGAGUGCAGUGCCUCCAAUGACGUGGCCGCGCCCGUGGUACGGAGAGUAAAGGUCACCGUGAACUAUCCACCAUACAUUUCAGAAGCCAAGGGUACAGGUGUCCCCGUGGGACAAAAGGGGACACUGCAGUGUGAAGCCUCAGCAGUCCCCUCAGCAGAAUUCCAGUGGUACAAGGAUGACAAAAGGAAGAGGAACGGAAUGCUAUACCUACGGAAGGCCACCCAUCCAACAGGGGCAUUGACCAAUGAAAAGCCCACAGCUUUGGUAAGAAACUGAGGCCUGGAAGCAGUGCGGGAUGGAGGGGAU